AUGACUGUGCAAACUCAGGUGAUGCUCAUCUGGAGCCUGGCUCUAUGGGGAGCAGUGAGUGGGGACAUCACCCUGAACCAGACGCCAGCUUCCCAGUCAGUAUCUCCUGGAGAGAGGAUAACCAUUUCAUGUCGGGCCAGUGCCGAUGUCCAUAAAGAAAUAUCCUGGGUCCGAAUAAAACUGGGACAAAGACUAGAGCCCCUUAUUUCUCAUCACUCCUUAGCUCCUGGUGUCCCCGCCCGGUUCAGCAGCAGUGAAAGUGGAACUGACUAUGUAUUAAGCAUCAGUCCUGUGCAGCCCGGGGACUCAGGAGAAUAUUACUGUCUGCACGACUAUGGUUGGCCAACCCACAGUGCAGCUGCCCUGCACACAAACCCCUGUUUCCUCUAG
Non-coding RNA from Chrysochloris asiatica (Cape golden mole), 390 nucleotides. The record is from the annotation of a RefSeq genome assembly. Lineage: Eukaryota; Metazoa; Chordata; Mammalia; Afrosoricida; Chrysochloridae.